RNAcentral lists this ribosomal RNA (86 nucleotides) under uncultured eukaryote. Its description in RNAcentral is "partial 18S ribosomal RNA". It matches the Rfam family "Eukaryotic small subunit ribosomal RNA", at positions 367 to 449 of the family's 1831-position model. The record is from RNAcentral.
GAAUUAGGGUUUGACGCUGGAGAGGGGGCUUGAGACAUGGCCACCACUACUAAUGGGGUAGGCAGCAGGGGCGUAAAUUACCCAAU